AGUGAACGCUGGCGGUAGGCCUAACACAUGCAAGUCGAACGGCAGCACAGGAGAGCUUGCUCUCUGGGUGGCGAGUGGCGGACGGGUGAGGAAUACAUCGGAAUCUACUCUGUCGUGGGGGAUAACGUAGGGAAACUUACGCUAAUACCGCAUACGACCUACGGGUGAAAGCAGGGGACCUUCGGGCCUUGCGCGAUUGAAUGAGCCGAUGUCGGAUUAGCUAGUUGGCGGGGUAAAGGCCCACCAAGGCGACGAUCCGUAGCUGGUCUGAGAGGAUGAGCAGCCAACCUAGACCGGUGGCACGGUCCGGACUCCUACGGGGGGCAGCAGUGGGGAAUAGUGGACAAUGGGCUCAAGCCUGAUCCAGCCAUACCGCGUGGGUGAAGAAGGCCUUCGUGUUGUAAAGCCCUUUUGUUGGGAAAGAAAUCCAGCUGGCUAAUACCCGGUUGGGAUGACGGUACCCAAAGAAUAAGCACCGGCUAACUUCGUGCCAGCCGCCGCCGUAA
This 506-nucleotide ribosomal RNA is filed under the name uncultured bacterium. Its description in RNAcentral is "partial 16S ribosomal RNA". It matches the Rfam family "Bacterial small subunit ribosomal RNA", at positions 29 to 523 of the family's 1533-position model. The record is from RNAcentral.